This is a non-coding RNA of Ahaetulla prasina, 424 nucleotides long. NCBI's taxonomy places the organism in Eukaryota, Metazoa, Chordata, Lepidosauria, Squamata, Colubridae. The record is from the annotation of a RefSeq genome assembly.
GUUGUGCCUUUUGCAGAAUCCUUUCCCGUCGAUCACCCUCCAUUCAUUAAAAGGAGCAACAAUGUUCCUGUGGCUAAAUUUGGUGUCCUUUCUAGCAGUCCUCAGAGGUGUUCGACUUCAAGUACAGUUGGUGGAGUCCAGAGGGGAUGUGAGAAGACCUGGAGAGUCCCUCCGUCUCACCUGCCAAGGUUCCGGAUUCACUUUCAGUGAUGCCUACAUGCACUGGUUGAGACAGGCCCCUGGGAAAGGCCUGGAAUGGGUGGCCUACAUAAACAAAGCUUCCAGUACUAUUUACUACUCAGACAAAGUGAAGGGCCGCUUCACCGUCUCCAGGGACAAUGCCAAAAGCCAGCUGUAUCUGCAAAUGAACGGCCUCAAAGUUGAAGACACAUCAGUCUAUUACUGUGCCAGAGAGACACAGUGA